CUGAGUUACAACUCCCUAACCCCUUGUGAACUAUUACACUGUUGCUUCGGCGGAUCAGCCGCUCCGGUAAACGGGACGGCCCGCCAGAGGACUCAUCAAAUCUCUGUUUCUACCUACGAUAACUUCUGAGUGUUAAACCAUAAACUUC
This 148-nucleotide unclassified non-coding RNA is filed under the name soil metagenome. RNAcentral describes it as "partial internal transcribed spacer 1". The record is from RNAcentral.